This is a long non-coding RNA of Cucumis melo (muskmelon), 1460 nucleotides long. RefSeq lists it as uncharacterized. The record is from RefSeq and is a predicted model, not a curated record. Lineage: Eukaryota; Viridiplantae; Streptophyta; Magnoliopsida; Cucurbitales; Cucurbitaceae. The transcript has 4 exons.
GACAUCCAAGUUCCAUUUUUUUUUCUUUUUCCUUCUUCAAUUUGCAGAGAACUUCUAAGAGAGAGUUUGGAAGAAGAAGAGAAAUUUUACUAGAAUUUUUUUAGGUUGAAGAAGAGGAGGAGAACUCAAGCAAAGUGUAUCAAUGGCUGAAUUUUAGUUCAUUCUGCACAUCACUGGUUUUUAAUUCGGUUUGAACUCUUCAAAAGGAAUUAAGAGGGCAGUUGGUUUUCACUCGAAAUCAGGAGGUCUCUGGUUUUUCUUGUAUUUUAGAGUGUAUCGAUGGAGUUAGAAUCUCUAUUUGGUAUGGUUGGAAAGCUUAUGCAAUUUACUACAACUUUCAUGAAAAUAUUGUAAACCAAAAACGACUAAAAAUCAGUUAAAUUGUAGAGACAAGUUAAAGAGGUCAUGUGCGCGCGAUUCUGGAAGUGGUUCUGUUUUGAGGGUUAUAUGUGUUUAUGCACGGGGAAUCAGAUUUAUAUGUCUUCAGGCCGAGAAGAAUUAAACCGAGCUUAUAGACCAAGGAUCUAGCCCAAGACUGUAGAGAUCGACUUCCCGGUGCCUGAUAGACUGCCUUAGUCUGUGGAAGCUUCAUUAUCGAUUGCCAGUACGUGUUUUGAGUUGGGCAUAGAGUCUGUUGUGUUGUGGUGUAUAUACACCCUUGUAUGUUAUAGAUACUCCACAGUUUGUAUAAUAUUUAGGAGCUAUAGUUGUGUAAAUUUUGUUCGUUAUAUUUUGAUUAAGGUGUCUUUAGGUUUACUCGUGAAAUCGGUAAAUUUUGAGGUACACUUCAUGUAUGUGUUUGACUAGCUGUGUUUGACUAGCCUAGGAUCCGCUGUGUUUUGUGGCAUGUACAAUAGUUUAUAUACUAGAUUGGCAAGUUCAUCACAUGAAAGUUUUAAGCAGAGUCGACAGAUACAGGUACAGAAAAGCGUUGUUCAUCGGCUUCACGCCAUCUUUCGGUCUAAGGUAGCAGGUAGUCCGGGAGGGGGUGUGACAAGCCAAUUCUAAUGAACGUCGCAACCAUAAACGAGGGAAACACAUAGAGAGGAAGUAUCACUUGAUACGAGAGAUUGUGCAACGAGGAAAUGUGAUCGUCACCAAGAUUGCUUCGGAGCACAACAUUGCUGAUCCAUUUACGAAGACUCUCACGGCUAAAGUGUUCGAGGGUCAUCUAGAAAGUCUAGGUCUACGAGAUAUGUACAUUAGGUAACCUAGGGCAAGUGGGAGAUGUGUAACGGAUAUGAUGAUGCCCUAGUUUAUUGUAUUUGUAUAUAUACGUCUUAUGUAAUAUACUUGUACAUUUUACCAUUUCCAAUGUUUGAGGAUUACUUUAUUAUGUACAUCCCAUAAGGACUAGAGUUUUAGUCCAAGUGGAAGUUUGUUGGGUUUUAUGUCCUAAAACUCGUAGAUAGUAAAUAUAAUCAAUUGACUGCCAUUAAUAAAAUGUUUUAUUAUUAUUA